Long non-coding RNA from Alosa alosa (allis shad), 425 nucleotides. RefSeq lists it as uncharacterized. The transcript has 5 exons. NCBI's taxonomy places the organism in Eukaryota, Metazoa, Chordata, Actinopteri, Clupeiformes, Clupeidae. The record is from RefSeq and is a predicted model, not a curated record.
ACUGUAACGGUUGAACAUGACUGUACACCAAGAGCCAAGAAGAGUCAUACUAGUGGAUAUUUUCUUUGCUGGGACACGGUUGCGCUGAACCCUCUCGACGUCAACUUUUAUCGGCUGGAUUCUAGCAUCUAACGUUACGAUUGCCUCUGUUGGGUUUGCUUGAUCAACCAUCGUUUCGGGGACUCUGAUGACAGUGAAGAGACAGAAAAUGGUGACUUUGCAUCUCUGAGGUACCUUUCAACUCGCCUGGUAUAUCAGUUGAAGCCUCAAGCCCAAGCCAAUUGCACUGGCAAACUCCAUCAUCUCGCCGAGUGCCAGGCAGCCGAGUCACUACCCCUCAACCUGGAGAAAACUGUUAAGCACCUCACCAUGGGGCAGGACCGCAACACUCUUCACCACCUCAACUCCCUGCACCUGCACCUUCA